RNAcentral lists this transfer RNA (85 nucleotides) under Candidatus Hatepunaea meridiana. RNAcentral describes it as "tRNA-Leu". It matches the Rfam family "tRNA". Rfam says of the family: Transfer RNA (tRNA) molecules are approximately 80 nucleotides in length. Lineage: Bacteria; Pseudomonadati; Candidatus Electryoneota; Candidatus Electryoneia; Candidatus Hatepunaeales; Candidatus Hatepunaeaceae. The record is from RNAcentral.
GCCGGGGUGGUGAAAUUGGUAGACGCAGCGGACUCAAAAUCCGCCGGGACCUGGUCCCGUGCCGGUUCGAUUCCGGCCCUCGGCA